RNAcentral lists this ribosomal RNA (255 nucleotides) under uncultured bacterium. RNAcentral describes it as "partial 16S ribosomal RNA". It matches the Rfam family "Bacterial small subunit ribosomal RNA", at positions 524 to 776 of the family's 1533-position model. The record is from RNAcentral.
UACGGGGGGAGCAAGCGUUGUUCGGAUUUACUGGGCGUAAAGGGCGCGUAGGCGGCCACCGCAAGUCAGUUGUGAAAUCUCCGGGCUUAACCCGGAAAGGUCAAUCGAUACUGCGGGGCUAGAGUGCAGAAGGGGCAACUGGAAUUCUCGGUGUAGCGGUGAAAUGCGUAGAUAUCGAGAGGAACACCUGCGGCGAAGGCGGGUUGCUGGGCUGACACUGACGCUGACAGCGCGAAAGCUAGGGGAGCGAACGGG